RNAcentral lists this ribosomal RNA (440 nucleotides) under uncultured bacterium. Its description in RNAcentral is "partial 16S ribosomal RNA". It matches the Rfam family "Bacterial small subunit ribosomal RNA", at positions 338 to 795 of the family's 1533-position model. The record is from RNAcentral.
CCUACGGGUGGCAGCAGUAGGGAAUAUUGCUCAAUGGGGGCAACCCUGAAGCAGCAACGCCGCGUGGAGGAAGAAGGUUUUCGGAUUGUAAACUCCUUUUGUUAGAGAAGAUAAUAACGGUAUCUCACGAAUAAGCACCGCCUAACUCCGUGCCAGCAGCCGCGGUGAUACGGAGGGUGCAAGCGUUAGUCGGAUUCACUGGGCGUAAAGAGCGCGUAGGCGGGGUAGCAAGUCAGAUGUGAAAUCCUAUGGCUUAACCAUAGAACUGCAUUUGAAACUGUUAUUCUAGAGUACGGGAGAGGUAGGUGGAAUUCUUGGUGUAGCGGUAAAAUGCGUAGAGAUCAAGAGGAAUACUCAUGGCGAAGGCGACCUGCUAGAACGUAACUGACGCUGAGGCGCGAAAGCGUGGGGAGCAAACAGGAUUAGAUACCCGAGUAGUC